CGAAGCUGCGGACGCUAACUUAGGUUGGCGUGGUAGAGGAGCGUUCUGUAAGCCGUCGAAGGGAAAGGUGUAAACCAUCCUGGAGGUAUCAGAAGUGCGAAUGUUGACAUGAGUAACGAUAAGGGGGGUGAAAAACCUCCCCGCCGGAAGACCAAGGGUUCCUGUCCAACGUUAAUCGGGGCAGGGUGAGUCGACCCCUAAGGCGAGGCCGAAAGGCGUAGUCGAUGGGAAACGGGUUAAUAUUCCCGUACCCUUUAUUAUUGCGAUGGGAGGACGGAGAAGGCUAGGUGGGCCUGGCGAUGGUUGUCCAGGUUCAAGUGUGUAGGUGGAAGACUUAGGUAAAUCCGGGUUUUCGUUAACGCUGAGACACGAUGUCGAGGUACUAAGGUACUGAAGUCAUUGAUGCCAUGCUUCCAGGAAAAGUCUCUAAGCUUCAGAUAAUAAAGGAUCGUACCCCAAACCGACACAGGUGGUCAGGUAGAGAAUACCAAGGCGCUUGAGAGAACUCGGGUAAAGGAACUAGGCAAAAUGGUACCGUAACUUCGGGAGAAGGUACGCCUUCGACGGUGAUGAGACUUGCUCUCUAAGCUGUUGAAGGCCGAAGAUACCAGAUGGCUGCAACUGUUUAUUAAAAACACAGCACUCUGCUAAAUCGUAAGAUGACGUAUAGGGUGUGACGCCUGCCCGGUGCCGGAAGGUUAAUUGAUGGGGUUAGACUUAGGUCGAAGCUCUUGAUCGAAGCCCCGGUAAACGGCGGCCGUAACUAUAACGGUCCUAAGGUAGCGAAAUUCCUUGUCGGGUAAGUUCCGACCUGCACGAAUGGCGUAAUGAUGGCCAUGCUGUCUCUACCCGAGACUCAGUGAAGUUGAAAUCGCAGUGAAGAUGCUGUGUACCCGCGGCUAGACGGAAAGACCCCGUGAACCUUUACUACAGCUUAGCAGUGAACUUAGAGCCUACAUGUGUAGGAUAGGUGGGAGGCAUUGAAACCAGGUCGCUAGAUUUGGUGGAGCCAAUCUUGAAAUACCACCCUUGUAUGUUUUGAGUUCUAACCAUGGCCCCUGAAUCGGGGUUUGGGACACUGUUUGGUGGGUAGUUUGACUGGGGCGGUCUCCUCCCAAAGAGUAACGGAGGAGUACGAAGGUUGGCUAAUCACGGUCGGACAUCGUGAGGUUAGUACAAUGGUAUAAGCCAGCUUAACUGCGAGACAGACACGUCGAGCAGGUACGAAAGUAGGUCUUAGUGAUCCGGUGGUUCUGUAUGGAAGGGCCAUCGCUCAACGGAUAAAAGCUACCC
RNAcentral lists this ribosomal RNA (1293 nucleotides) under Loxechinus albus. Its description in RNAcentral is "bacterial LSU rRNA". It matches the Rfam family "Bacterial large subunit ribosomal RNA", at positions 1195 to 2468 of the family's 2925-position model. The record is from RNAcentral. Lineage: Eukaryota; Metazoa; Echinodermata; Echinoidea; Camarodonta; Echinidae.